This is a long non-coding RNA of Drosophila obscura, 1512 nucleotides long. RefSeq lists it as uncharacterized. NCBI's taxonomy places the organism in Eukaryota, Metazoa, Arthropoda, Insecta, Diptera, Drosophilidae. The record is from RefSeq and is a predicted model, not a curated record. The transcript has 2 exons.
AACACCUAUCCGCUCGGCUCAGCGGCUGCAACGCAACCAAAGGUGAUGGUUGCGGGUGCUGGCUAGUUGUACUCUCAACUAAUUGCGUCUUAGUUUAUUUUUUGUUGCUUCCCUGUAUUGCAUUCAUAUGUAUGUAGUUAAAUUUCAGGGGAUUCAAAUAUUCAGGCGCCAACAUCAUUGAGGCUGCAUGUGGACAGUGUUGAGCAAUGUGGGCUGGCCUGACAAUGCAACGGCACAUGUUCCAGUGCAUCAAUGAAAUACCAAUUGGUCAAAAAGCAGGACAACGUCCCACACGACGGCCUGGCGGGACUUGGGUGGCAGUCUUGGGUAAUCUGGGUAUGGUAUGCGACAACCCUUGGAAUUAUCGAAUGCUUUCCUAUUCUCUUUCCUCGAAUUCGCAAUUGUACAUUAGUUCUGAGGUGCGCAGGAGAAAAAAGCGCACCACCAAAACUCGUCUAUCAACUUUUGCUUUCAUUUUGUGGCGAAAAUUCGCGCGUACAGAGCGCAAGACAUAAAUAACAAUUGCAAAAAUCACGUAUGCGUAAAGAGAAACACAGUAAUAGCCACAGUGCGCAGAAGCGAGACAAACAUACUAGGUAACCUCAUAUAUACACACACACACACGGUAUACAACUGCGGCUAACUUCAGGGCGUACGAGCGUGAAAACGGCAGGAACACGCAAUAAAACGUUUGACGAAAACAAUAAGAAAGAAAAGGGAAUAAGAGAUCUAAGCGACUAACGUCGCGUCGCUCUGUUCUAACAUUCUGGAUAUUGGACCAACCAAGGCAAUUUCAAUAUGGCGUCUGUGGUGCAAAAUAGACUUGCAAUUAUUUAUAUAAUUGAAAUUUUUGAAUAAUUUUCAGUGGAAAUGGGCAUGCAAUCUGAUGCGCAUGUCAAAACGACGAACACAAGAAAUACACAAAUAUGAAUACAUAUUGUGAGGCCAAUGCAUUGAGGGUGUGCCUAUUUAAUGUUUGUUUCGAGAGCCUAGUUGCACUUUCACAUAAUAUAUACCAAACAAUUAUUUUGGAAAAUAAUUUAAAAUUGUUAACCAUAUGCAUGGGGCUGGCAACUCUGUGGGGCUCUAUUUAGUCACAUCCAACUUCAUGUUGCACAAAGCAAAAUCGAAAGCAAAACAAAUGAAGACACAAAUGAGUGCGAGAGAGCACGACAUAUGCACUGCCGUGGGGGAGAAACACGAAAUCAAAUAUGGCGACACGCUAUAUGACAAGUGCAGGAUGUGAUUCAUUGCAAGAUUAUGCUGUCUGACUGUGCCCACUGACGAUUCUAUCAUUAUCACUGCACUUUUUCGAUUAAGGCGCGCAUUUCCCACAUUUAUUUAUUAGCGCUUUACUCACCGUUUAUUUUGUUCAUUGGCGGUCUCACUUCAUUUUUCACAACUCUGUUUAAUUCGACGGCAAGGCAAGCUUUGAUUUCUAAUUUUUGCGUAUUUGGCGCACAAAACUCUUCUCACGUUUGCUUUUUAAAAUACAAAUACAAUUUGCAUACA